RNAcentral lists this ribosomal RNA (1113 nucleotides) under Enterococcus sp. 324B3_12AGalle. Its description in RNAcentral is "bacterial SSU rRNA". It matches the Rfam family "Bacterial small subunit ribosomal RNA", at positions 53 to 1137 of the family's 1533-position model. The record is from RNAcentral. Lineage: Bacteria; Bacillati; Bacillota; Bacilli; Lactobacillales; Enterococcaceae.
ACAUGCAAGUCGUACGCUUCUUUUUCCACCGGAGCUUGCUCCACCGGAAAAAGAAGAGUGGCGAACGGGUGAGUAACACGUGGGUAACCUGCCCAUCAGAAGGGGAUAACACUUGGAAACAGGUGCUAAUACCGUAUAACAAUCGAAACCGCAUGGUUUUGAUUUGAAAGGCGCUUUCGGGUGUCGCUGAUGGAUGGACCCGCGGUGCAUUAGCUAGUUGGUGAGGUAACGGCUCACCAAGGCCACGAUGCAUAGCCGACCUGAGAGGGUGAUCGGCCACAUUGGGACUGAGACACGGCCCAAACUCCUACGGGAGGCAGCAGUAGGGAAUCUUCGGCAAUGGACGAAAGUCUGACCGAGCAACGCCGCGUGAGUGAAGAAGGUUUUCGGAUCGUAAAACUCUGUUGUUAGAGAAGAACAAGGAUGAGAGUAACUGUUCAUCCCUUGACGGUAUCUAACCAGAAAGCCACGGCUAACUACGUGCCAGCAGCCGCGGUAAUACGUAGGUGGCAAGCGUUGUCCGGAUUUAUUGGGCGUAAAGCGAGCGCAGGCGGUUUCUUAAGUCUGAUGUGAAAGCCCCCGGCUCAACCGGGGAGGGUCAUUGGAAACUGGGAGACUUGAGUGCAGAAGAGGAGAGUGGAAUUCCAUGUGUAGCGGUGAAAUGCGUAGAUAUAUGGAGGAACACCAGUGGCGAAGGCGGCUCUCUGGUCUGUAACUGACGCUGAGGCUCGAAAGCGUGGGGAGCAAACAGGAUUAGAUACCCUGGUAGUCCACGCCGUAAACGAUGAGUGCUAAGUGUUGGAGGGUUUCCGCCCUUCAGUGCUGCAGCUAACGCAUUAAGCACUCCGCCUGGGGAGUACGACCGCAAGGUUGAAACUCAAAGGAAUUGACGGGGGCCCGCACAAGCGGUGGAGCAUGUGGUUUAAUUCGAAGCAACGCGAAGAACCUUACCAGGUCUUGACAUCCUUUGACCACUCUAGAAAUAAGAGCUUCCCCUUCGGGGGCAAAGUGACAGGUGGUGCAUGGUUGUCGUCAGCUCGUGUCGUGAGAUGUUGGGUUAAGUCCCGCAACGAGCGCAACCCUUAUUGUUAGUUGCCAUCAUUCAGUUGGGCA